Molecule: non-coding RNA, 46 nt
Organism: Schistosoma mattheei
Lineage: Eukaryota; Metazoa; Platyhelminthes; Trematoda; Strigeidida; Schistosomatidae
Source: Rfam
ACACUAUUGAGGAGUCUCAUAAUAGGACGAAACAGUCGUCCAGUAU